GAUGAACGCUGGCGGCGUGCCUAAUACAUGCAAGUCGAGCGAACGGACGAGAAGCUUGCUUCUCUGAUGUUAGCGGCGGAUGGGUGAGUAACACGUGGAUAACCUACCUAUAAGACUGGGAUAACUUCGGGAAACCGGAGCUAAUACCGGAUAAUAUUUUGAACCGCAUGGUUCAAAAGUGAAAGACGGUCUUGCUGUCACUUAUAGAUGGAUCCGCGCUGCAUUAGCUAGUUGGUAAGGUAACGGCUUACCAAGGCAACGAUGCAUAGCCGACCUGAGAGGGUGAUCGGCCACACUGGAACUGAGACACGGUCCAGACUCCUACGGGAGGCAGCAGUAGGGAAUCUUCCGCAAUGGGCGAAAGCCUGACGGAGCAACGCCGCGUGAGUGAUGAAGGUCUUCGGAUCGUAAAACUCUGUUAUUAGGGAAGAACAUAUGUGUAAGUAACUGUGCACAUCUUGACGGUACCUAAUCAGAAAGCCACGGCUAACUACGUGCCAGCAGCCGCGGUAAUACGUAGGUGGCAAGCGUUAUCCGGAAUUAUUGGGCGUAAAGCGCGCGUAGGCGGUUUUUUAAGUCUGAUGUGAAAGCCCACGGCUCAACCGUGGAGGGUCAUUGGAAACUGGAAAACUUGAGUGCAGAAGAGGAAAGUGGAAUUCCAUGUGUAGCGGUGAAAUGCGCAGAGAUAUGGAGGAACACCAGUGGCGAAGGCGACUUUCUGGUCUGUAACUGACGCUGAUGUGCGAAAGCGUGGGGAUCAAACAGGAUUAGAUACCCUGGUAGUCCACGCCGUAAACGAUGAGUGCUAAGUGUUAGGGGGUUUCCGCCCCUUAGUGCUGCAGCUAACGCAUUAAGCACUCCGCCUGGGGAGUACGACCGCAAGGUUGAAACUCAAAGGAAUUGACGGGGACCCGCACAAGCGGUGGAGCAUGUGGUUUAAUUCGAAGCAACGCGAAGAACCUUACCAAAUCUUGACAUCCUUUGACAACUCUAGAGAUAGAGCCUUCCCCUUCGGGGGACAAAGUGACAGGUGGUGCAUGGUUGUCGUCAGCUCGUGUCGUGAGAUGUUGGGUUAAGUCCCGCAACGAGCGCAACCCUUAAGCUUAGUUGCCAUCAUUAAGUUGGGCACUCUAAGUUGACUGCCGGUGACAAACCGGAGGAAGGUGGGGAUGACGUCAAAUCAUCAUGCCCCUUAUGAUUUGGGCUACACACGUGCUACAAUGGACAAUACAAAGGGCAGCGAAACCGCGAGGUCAAGCAAAUCCCAUAAAGUUGUUCUCAGUUCGGAUUGUAGUCUGCAACUCGACUACAUGAAGCUGGAAUCGCUAGUAAUCGUAGAUCAGCAUGCUACGGUGAAUACGUUCCCGGGUCU
This 1372-nucleotide ribosomal RNA is filed under the name uncultured bacterium. RNAcentral describes it as "bacterial SSU rRNA". It matches the Rfam family "Bacterial small subunit ribosomal RNA", at positions 28 to 1381 of the family's 1533-position model. The record is from RNAcentral.